This 4918-nucleotide long non-coding RNA is filed under the name Homo sapiens (human). Its description in RNAcentral is "non-protein coding lnc-ATAD2B-7:2". Lineage: Eukaryota; Metazoa; Chordata; Mammalia; Primates; Hominidae. The record is from RNAcentral.
AGCUGCUCCACACCUCAGCAUAUGCUCUGCCUCACUUGCUUCCUCACUGUUAAAAUGACAACGGACGCCGUCUUCGGUGCUUCCAACACCCUCGGUUCCCUCUCGCGGCCCGGCCUUCCUACGCUGCUACGUUGUGCAUUACCCACAACAGCAAAAAUGUUCCACUGGUGGUUUCAAGAUUCCUAAAAAAAUAGAUUCAAAACAUCUUUAAUACUCUCUGAAGAAGCAAUACAUCACAGGAAAAGCUGUAACCUUUCCUGUUGCUGAUACUAUCCAGACUGCGGGCUGAUGAGGACGGUAACUGCAGCCAAUUCGUAUUCUGCGUGGCUGCCGCUGGAGGUGCACAGGAGCUGGUCCACCCACCCUCCACACUCCCAACCAAGGAAGCUGCUGAAUUUCUGAGUGUUUGCCUAAUGCCCUUUUAUAUAACCUGAAAAGAGUCACAGUACUUGAAGGCAGUAUUUUCCAAGAAACAGCCUUCCCCUAUUAACGCAACAUCCCUGAAAAUAAUACUGCUGUUUCUACGGCAGUGACAGGCCCUGCAUGGAACGCAUUUUUCCUUCCUUUUUUCCCCAUCACAGAGCCACGGGCAAGAAGCUGCGGCGGCAGAGCCUCGUCAAAGCCAGCUGGACAGAGGGAUGGCUACUUGCAUUGUUAAGUAGGAGCGCUUCACAGUGACCAUGGGCCAGCCUGGAACUGCCUUCCCCCAGGACGGGGGGACAGGCGUGAGUGGGUGUGAAGCACAGGGAAGCUUCUCUGCCUGGUGAUCCCAAGAGGGCCUGCAACAGGUGCCCUGCCUGGCUGAAGGAGGAGGCUGCCGGGAAAUCAGACUCGGAUUUGCCAGCUUACAACUCAAACCGGGCUGGGCAAACACGCUGCGAUACGGCGGUCACGGCUGUAAUUCAGAGAGAAUGCUCAGAAAUGGGAAACAAAAACACAAGGCAGGAUGCCCCUUUGUGCUGGAAGUCAGAAUCUCCAUGUGUUCUUCUCGCUGCCCGCCGAGGUCUGAGCGGGGCCCUGCUGUGAAUGACCCCGGGAACGGUGCCAGAGUCACACAGACUUGGUGCAGACAACAGAGCUACCUUUCAGGGGCUCUGUGUCCUUGGACAGGUCACUAGACUUCUCUGAACCCGUUCGCUCAUUUCCAGAAAGGGAUAAGAUCUCUCUUACAGUUCAUGGGGUGCGCAAGAAUGAUGGGUGCCAAGCCCAUGACCCCAGGUUCUGGCAAGGAAUCGGCCUCUCCAAAAAUGAUGGUUUUUAUUAUUCUCACUAUUCUAGAAAAUGUCUUUGUGAAUUGUUUGCUUGAUUGAAACGGUUUCUUUUUAAUAAAAUCUUGAUUUUAAAAAGCCCGAAGUCACCUCUGUUUUCUUUAUUCAGCAGAAUAGGAUGCGGGGCGAGGACAACAUUUAGAGACUUGGUAAAUGUUUUUUUCUUUAACUUACAUUGCCGUGUGUGUGCGUGUUUCUCCUUUCAUCUUUCCCUGGCUCCCCCAAUUUAAGAAAGGUUAGUUUAGGUAAAAUGAGCAUUACAAGGCUCCCACAACCUCCGCAGCCUUUCUGUCACAGGAUUAAAGAGAAGAAUGAACCCCAGGCUGAGUAUGAACUUUUUGUAGGGCUCAAGAGAACAGAACCCCAGGCUGAGGAGGGAGAGGCAGACUUGGAGUGUGGGAGGACAGGGUAAGGGGUGUAACCUCAUGGUCAGGCUGCUACUAGGGGAGCAUGGCAGAAGCAGACCUGGCUCAGUGGCCAAUAGCAGAGAGGUCCACCCUCCAGGCCAGGACCCAUAGGUCCAGUGAGGUCUUCCUUGCUGAGAGCUCCAAGGGGACUGACCCUUGGGUCCCUUAGGAGGAGGGAUCAAGGCCACCAGAACUGGAAGCCCAGAGGCCACAGUGAGCCUGAUUCCCAAAAGAGAAGCAGAGGGGGUCUGGGGAGGGAAUAUCUGCCAUCUUUCAUCUGACAGGGGACAGACAUAGGCACUGGCUGUGCUGAUGAGAAAGGAACAGCGACGCUGACGUGCAGGAAGGCUGGCGCAGCUGAACAAGGUCAUGGUCACUUCACUCUAAUCUGACAUCCUCAGCACGGUCUGUGUCCACGCAGUGACCCUAACAGGUGCAUAACCAUCAGGCUGCAAAUGAGGGGUCUGGGGAUGUGAAGCCCCCUAGACUGGAAUAAUGGGAUUUCUCAGAGGGCCCCAGGAGCUGGGGUGGGCAGCCCAUGGAAAGUGCAACUUCAGCAACUUCCCUCCGCCCAGAGCACCAGUGCAGGUGCUCCGGCCCGGCUCGCAGGUCCACCGUGAGAGGCAGUGCGGCUCACACAGAGCCCGGGGACGUCCUCCCUGGCCACCGCACCCCUUUCUACAGGCUGACUCAGAGCUCCCUGCAGCAGAGACACACAUGAGAUGCUCCGAGUGUCCUGACUUGUUCUCUGGCCCCAGAGAUACGACUCAGGGUGUCUCAGGAUCCCAGGUUGGAUGGUCCCAGGGUGGCUGGGGAGGCAGCAACCUCCUCUGGAAGUGGGGUCCCUGGCAGCACCCGGUUCAGUGAAAAUGGACGUGAGAGUGAGGCUCUAGGAGGAGGUUGCAUUUACACAAGAGCAGAAGUCGAGGCAGCAGUUUUCUCAUCUGCAAAAUGCUAAUAACAAAGCCUGCCCCCGGGCUUGUGAGGAUAAGCCGAAGCCCAGGAGAAGGCCUGGCUCAUCGCAGACCCACAGUGCGUGCUCCCCAGGCACCAGGUUCAGUGUCUUUCCUGAAAGGGCAACUGGAUAGGACGUGGAAGAAGCGCCGAGCUGUGAAAGGAAGCGCAGGUUCUAGGGAGAGGGCUAAGCAGACAGGGAGAGAAGGACCUGAUGGCUGGAACGGGCUUUGGAGGAGUCUUGUUUUGCUGGAGGCGGAGCUGACCUGGGGCUGCAGGGAGCAGCACACUCCAUUCCCAUCAUCAAUGCCCAGGGCCCAGGGCGCCCCUCUCUUGGGGGCUUACAGCCCACAUCUUCCCACCACCGGAUGGCUUUGCGGUCCCUGCUGUUUCCUGAACACACCAGCCCACCCUGCCUCAGCCUGGAGCCUGCAAUGUUCCUCCCUCAGCGAUCAGCGACCCGAGUGACCUCCUUUCUUACCUCCUUGGGUCUCUGCUCAAAGGCAACCACAGAGAGCUCUUUCCGAACCCUACUAUUUCAAAUCUCACAGCUAACACUCCUUAUUCAUUUUUCUCCAUUGCACUUAUCAAUAUUAUGUGUGUGAUUCUGAAGAACGCAUAUUCCCUAGAUUUUAUGUACAAUAUUCUCUAAGCCGUUGUCAUGUUUACUAAUUGUGUUUGCAAAUCUUCUAUACCUUUAUUAUUAUUAUUUUUGUCUGUUUGUUUUGUUGUUUAGAGAAUGUGUUAAAUAUUUCCUACUGUGACUGUGAAUUCAUUUUUUCCCUUCUAGUUCUGUCAAUUUUUGCCUUUUAUAUUUUGAGGCUAUGUUCUAUGUUCUGUGAACCCUUUGGGUAUCUGAGACAGGUCUCAUUUUAGGAAAUUUAUUUUGCCAAAGUUAAGGACGCAUGCCAGUGACACGGCCUCAGGAGGUCCUGAUGACAUGUGUCCAGGGUGGUCAGGGCACAGGUUGGUUUUAUACAUUUUAGGGAGACAUGAGACAUCAAUCAAUAUAUGUAAGAUGUACAUUGGUUCUGCCUGGAAAGGGGUGGGACAACUCAAAGCAGGAAGGGGGUUUCCAAGUCAUAGGUAGGUAAGCGACAAAUGGGUGCAUUGUUUUGAGUUUCUGAUUAGCCUUUCCAAAGGAGGCCGUCAGAUACGCAUCUAUCUCAGUGAGCAGAGUGGUGACUUUCAGUUCUAUCUGUCCUUUGUCCACAAGGAAAUUCCUUGUGAGGGAGGGGCGAGUGAGGUCCAGAAUGGAAGGUGAUCUGGGCCCAGUUUCUGUAGUGAAUUGAGACACAGUUAGGACCCAGGCUUUCUGCAUAGCAUUUCAGGGCACCCGCCCCACCACACAGGGCUAUUUCUUGUCCCAGGACCAAGCCUUGCAAAGGACAAGUCUGGAGUGAUGGCAAGAGGCAAUCUGCUGAUCAUGACUGAUGAAACUGAAAAUUUCAGAGUCAGAAGCCACAUAAGUCCCACAGUGAAAAUGCAGACAGAGGGCCUAUGGGGAAGUGCGGAACUGAGGAGAGAUGACCACGUCUUUAAACUAGCCAUUCCCUGCAGCUCAUUCCGGACCAAGCCUCUUAAAGCACCAAUUUAUGAACUUCAUUCCAGGAAAAGAUGAAGAAAAUGUCCAUGAAACUUCUCAAAGAGCAGCAGAUUCUCCAUAAAAGCUCACUCAGAUAGUGACAAGAUAGGGAGCUGGGAAAUCAAUUGGUUCUCCAAAGCACACCAGAACGAAUACAGCAAGGUGCAAUUCAGUACCGAGAGGCCAGCAAGAGUUGAGUUUGGAGCUGAGGCCUGGCCAUGGGCCCAACAGACCCAGCAGCAGUAUCGCCCCAUCCCACCCCAAGACAGUCCCUGACUACUAGCAUCCAGUUGAAAGGCUUUAUUUCCAAGUGUUGGGAGGAAGGGCUUUGUGGGGUGGGGGAGAUGGCCAGCCAGGGAUGAGGACUCUCCACUGCUUCUGAUACCAUGUGAUCCCUGAGGGACUGUCAGGGGUAUGUGUCACAAAAGCAACUCAUCUGCUCUGCCUACCCUCCCUACCUGAGUAAUGGACCUCCCGUACCCCCAUGUCACUGAAGACAGUAGUGUGGACCAUGGGCUCUGGAAAGAAGUGGGGGGUCAGGGGUGGGUUCACAUCCAAACAGGAGUCUGAUUCCCAUUUGCUACUUAGAUUAGUGUAGUCUUGCACCAACUAUUUAAUCUCUUUGUGUCUGGGUUUCCUCACCCAUACAAUGGGGAUAAGUCACUACCUCACGGGUUUUGUUGGAAGGUUGAACCAAAUAAACA